Molecule: transfer RNA, 72 nt
Filed under: Anguilla anguilla (European eel)
Lineage: Eukaryota; Metazoa; Chordata; Actinopteri; Anguilliformes; Anguillidae
Description: tRNA-OTHER
Source: RNAcentral
AGCUCAUUGGUCUAGGGAUAUGAUUCUUGCUUUGGUUGCUAGAGGCCUUGGAUUCAAACCCCGGACGAGCCU